Molecule: ribosomal RNA, 468 nt
Filed under: uncultured bacterium
Lineage: Bacteria
Description: partial 16S ribosomal RNA
Rfam family: Bacterial small subunit ribosomal RNA
Source: RNAcentral
GACGAACGCUGGCGGCGUGCUUAACACAUGCAAGUCGAACGGAAAGGCCCUGCUUUUGUGGGGUGCUCGAGUGGCGAACGGGUGAGUAACACGUGAGUAACCUGCCAUUGACUUUGGGAUAACUUCAGGAAACUGGGGCUAAUACCGGAUAGGAGCUCCUGCUGCAUGGUGGGGGUUGGAAAGUUUCGGCGGUUGGGGAUGGACUCGCGGCUUAUCAGCUUGUUGGUGGGGUAGUGGCUUACCAAGGCUUUGACGGGUAGCCGGCCUGAGAGGGUGACCGGCCACAUGGGGACUGGGAUACGGCCCAGACUCCUACGGGAGGCAGCAGUGGGGAAUAUUGCACAAUGGGCGGAAGCCUGAUGCAGCAACGCCGCGUGCGGUAUGACGGCCUUCGGGUUGUAAACCGCUUUCGCCUGUGACGAAGCGUGAGUGACGGUAAUGGGUAAAGAAGCACCGGCUAACUACGUG